Long non-coding RNA from Macaca fascicularis (crab-eating macaque), 1460 nucleotides. Lineage: Eukaryota; Metazoa; Chordata; Mammalia; Primates; Cercopithecidae. The record is from Ensembl.
UUGAGAGUUUAGCAAAUAUUUAUUUCUUUUUCAUCGAAGUUGAGCCAAAUAGAGAUUGUACAUAAUGGUACAGACAAAGUACGUAGUGCGGAGUAGCAGAUCCACGUUAGAGUCAAAGAGACACACCGUUAAUGGGCCCUGCAGCUUGCCACCAGAUGAUAGUAAGUCUCACGGCUUAGAAUCAGUGAAAAGAAAGAAUAUGGCACACGCUGUUAUGAACCCAGCCAAGCAAAUAAAAGGAUACCAUACAGAAAAGAGCACUCCCAUAUAGUGCUCUAGCUUAUAACUAAGUCAGUUAAACACAAGCAGAACACAAUCAAUUUAUAAUGAAAGCCAAAAUAUAAAGCUAUCCUUCCAAGAAAACAAAAAUAAACAUACCAGCUUAAAUAGCACUGCUACAAUCAGCUGAGUGUUUGUGGAAAAUCUAUUAUUUAUAUCUGAUUCAAAUGCAACAGUUGUUGGCCUGAAAAAUGAGUCCUUCUUUAAAAUGGAACUCGGCGUAAUGCUCUGCUGUAAGAAAAAGAAUAUGGGCUUCUUGAGUGUCGCAUUUUCUCCUGGAAACAAAAUAUUUAUACAAUACUAAGUACUUUUCUUAAUAUAUUUAUUAGGCUACAGAUGUCACAGGUCAAUUCAUUUUUAAGGACAACAGCUGCUGUGUUUGUUUCAUGCUUAACACCAACACUCAAAAUGAUUUAUUAUAUUUUACAAAUUUUACAAAUGUUCAUAAUUACUAGGAAGAUUUACAAAACCCUAAAACCUAUAGCAAAUAUUGAACACUCAUUACAAACAUUCUAAGUAUUUAAUUUUAGUUAGAAAAAAACUCUAAAAUAUAUAUGGAAUUGCCACUUACUAAACAGGCAAAGACUUUCUGUUCCCUUUUUUCUACAGCUCUUAUUAGUGUUUAUCCUUUAUUUAAUCCCUGUUUCUCCAAGUUGAUAGUUUUGCACUGAAAUAUUCAGUAAUUCACACAAAAGAAAAAAGUUAACAAUGUAGAAUUAUAGACAUGGAAGAGACCUCACAAAUCACGAAGUAAAAUCUUUCUUGUUAACAAAUCUGGAUCUAUUUCUCAAUGGGUGACAUUGUGCUGAAGGAGCAAGUGAAUGGGCAUUGUUUUAUGUCAAAACUCUUUCCAUCCACAGGUCCUCUCCUGUAACAAAGAUAAAAGAGGUCUAAAGAAGUAGAAGACUGGCCCUAGAUGGAGGUGCCCCUUAGAAAUUAGGAUGAGUGGUUAUGAGUUUUGCUCAAUGUUAGAGAGCAUGGUUUCUCUCCUUCUGCGAGAAAGAGAAAAAUAGGGAAAAUUUGGUGAGAUCAAAGGUGAACUCUUAAUUCCUUCAAGUCUUGCAGGUGUCUAAGUAUGUGCCCUCCUUGAGUUCAGAGAAGAUCCAUCCAUUUCUAAUUUUCUAAGCCUGGGCGUUUCUCAAAAGAGAUUCUGAAUUUGAAUGAUUUCUAACCUCAGACAG